UACGUAGGGUGCAAGCGUUGUCCGGAAUUAUUGGGCGUAAAGAGCUCGUAGGCGGUUUGUCGCGUCUGCUGUGAAAACUCGGGGCUCAACUCCGAGCUUGCAGUGGGUACGGGCAGACUAGAGUGCGGUAGGGGAGACUGGAAUUCCUGGUGUAGCGGUGGAAUGCGCAGAUAUCAGGAGGAACACCGGUGGCGAAGGCGGGGCUCUGGGCCGUAACUGACGCUGAGGAGCGAAAGCAUGGGGAGCGAACAGG
RNAcentral lists this ribosomal RNA (253 nucleotides) under uncultured bacterium. RNAcentral's name for it is "partial 16S ribosomal RNA". It matches the Rfam family "Bacterial small subunit ribosomal RNA", at positions 524 to 776 of the family's 1533-position model. The record is from RNAcentral.